This 468-nucleotide ribosomal RNA is filed under the name uncultured bacterium. RNAcentral's name for it is "partial 16S ribosomal RNA". It matches the Rfam family "Bacterial small subunit ribosomal RNA", at positions 28 to 507 of the family's 1533-position model. The record is from RNAcentral.
GACGAACGCUGGCGGCGUGCUUAACACAUGCAAGUCGAACGGAAAGGCCCUGCUUUUGUGGGGUGCUCGAGUGGCGAACGGGUGAGUAACACGUGAGUAACCUGCCCUUGACUUUGGGAUAACUUCAGGUAACUGGGGCUAAUACCGGAUAGGAGCUCCUGCUGCAUGGUGGGGGUUGGAAAGUUUCGGCGGUUGGGGAUGGACUCGCGGCUUAUCAGCUUGUUGGUGGGGGAGUGGCUUACCAAGGCUUUGACGGGUAGCCGGCCUGAGAGGGUGACCGGCCACAUUGGGACUGAGAUACGGCCCAGACUCCUACGGGAGGCAGCAGUGGGGAAUAUUGCACAAUGGGCGGAAGCCUGAUGCAGCAACGCCGCGUGCGGGAUGACGGCCUUCGGGUUGUAAACCGCUUUCGCCUGUGACGAAGCUGGAGUGACGGUAAUGGGUAAAUAAGCACCGGCUAACUACGUG